AUGCCUACGGGGGGCAGCAGUCGGGAAUAUUGCGCAAUGGAGGAAACUCUGAAGCAGUGACGCCGCGUAUAGGAAGAAGGUUUUCGGAUUGUAAACUAUUGUCGUUCGGGAAGCGAAAGGACAGUACCUAAGGAGGAAGCUCCGACUAACUACGUGCCAGCAGCCGCGGUAAUACGUAGGGAGCGAGCGUUAUCCGGAAUUAUUGGGUGUAAAGGGUGCGUAGAGGGGAAAACAAGUUAGUUGUGAAAUCCCUCGGCUUAACUGAGGAACUGCAACUAAAACUAUUUUCGUUGAGUGAAGGAGCG
Molecule: ribosomal RNA, 305 nt
Filed under: uncultured bacterium
Lineage: Bacteria
Description: bacterial SSU rRNA
Rfam family: Bacterial small subunit ribosomal RNA
Source: RNAcentral